GACGAACGCUCGCGGCGUGCUUAACACAUGCAAGUCGAACGGAAAGGCCCUGCUUUUGUGGGGUGCUCGAGUGGCGAACGGGUGAGUAACACGUGAGUAACCUGCCCUUGACUUUGGGAUAACUUCAGGAAACUGGGGCUAAUACCGGAUAGGAGCUCCUGCUGCAUGGUGGGGGUUGGAAAGUUUCGGCGGUUGGGGAUGGACUCGCGGCUUAUCAGCUUGUUGGUGGGGUAGUGGCUUACCAAGGCUUUGACGGGUAGCCGGCCUGAGAGGGUGACCGGCCACAUUGGGACUGAGAUACGGCCCAGACUCCUACGGGAGGCAGCAGUGGGGAAUAUUGCACAAUGGGCGGAAGCCUGAUGCAGCAACGCCGCGUGCGGGAUGACGGCCUUCGGGUUGUAAACCGCUUUCGCCUGUGACGAAGCGUGAGUGACGGUAAUGGGUAAAGAAGCACCGGCUAACUACGU
Molecule: ribosomal RNA, 467 nt
Filed under: uncultured bacterium
Lineage: Bacteria
Description: partial 16S ribosomal RNA
Rfam family: Bacterial small subunit ribosomal RNA
Source: RNAcentral